CUGGAACGCGCCCCGGCGCACCCAGAAACCCUUUGUGAACUUAUACCUUACUGUUGCCUCGGCGCAGGCCGGCCUCUUAGCUGAGGCCCCCCGGAGACGGGGAGCAGCCCGCCGGCGGCCAAGUUAACUCUUGUUUCUACCAUGAAUCUCUGAGUAAAAAAACAUAAAUGAAUCAAAACUUUCAACAACGGAUCUCUUGGUUCUGGCAUCGAUGAAGAACGCAGCGAAAUGCGAUAAGUAAUGUGAAUUGCAGAAUUCAGUGAAUCAUCGAAUCUUUGAACGCACAUUGCGCCCUCUGGUAUUCCGGAGGGCAUGCCUGUUCGAGCGUCAUUUCAACCCUCAAGCCUGGCUUGGUGUUGGGGCACUGCUUCGAGAGAAGCAGGCCCUGAAAUCUAGUGGCGAGCUCGCUAGGACCCCGAGCGUAGUAGUUAUAUCUCGUUCUGGAAGGCCCUGGCGGUGCCCUGCCGUUAAACCCCCAACUUCUGAAAAU
This 490-nucleotide ribosomal RNA is filed under the name Diaporthe sp. Fsn004. Its description in RNAcentral is "eukaryotic LSU rRNA". The stretch from base 177 to 330 matches the Rfam family "5.8S ribosomal RNA". Lineage: Eukaryota; Fungi; Ascomycota; Sordariomycetes; Diaporthales; Diaporthaceae. RNAcentral also lists the same sequence under 1 other name. The record is from RNAcentral.